Long non-coding RNA from Hyalella azteca, 502 nucleotides. RefSeq lists it as uncharacterized. The transcript is spliced from 3 exons. Lineage: Eukaryota; Metazoa; Arthropoda; Malacostraca; Amphipoda; Hyalellidae. The record is from RefSeq and is a predicted model, not a curated record.
ACCCUGCUAGCUCCUGCUCCCUGCCCUCCGCUCUAUCAUCUGCCCUGACCUGCGUUCUUUUCGACGUCGCUUCUCAGGGUUGGGAUCAAUUCUUCAGUCAAGUCCUCGUGUGGAGUGAAAGGCGAGACUUGGACGACUCGUGCGAGCGGGUGAGAGCUCGCGCAGUAGCGCUGCAAGCAGCCGAGGCCGAACAGCAACGCCUGCAACUCUCUGUCCUCCUGAAGCAGAAAGAGGAUAUUCUGCUAGAUGAGGAGCAGUUACACAUCAUACUUAAAGCUCAGGAGCAACGGGAAAUUUUAUCAGGCAAGUUGGACGUGUGUCGAAGAGAAGCGCUGGACGUGGCACGUCAGUGCUCGGUGUACGACGUCGUGUCUGCAGCGUCACGACGCGUCUACUCAGUGCUCAUGUCUAUGGCUGAAUUUCGUUCAGUCAAACAGGAUUUUUUGAACGUUCACCCAUUGAGCCUUACGGACUUUAGCACCACGAUGCUCAGCGAUAUUCU